CCUCGCAUAAUUAUAAGAACAACUUAGAACGAAGCUCAGACGUUUAAUAGCAAUUAACAUUUCAAGUCUAUUCCUAGCACUCAAAUAUGUUAAGUAUUGUUGUUUAGGUCCGAACCCUAAAAAUACCUCCCGGUCAGAUUUAAGAUUCUCAAUUUGUCACGGAAAGUUAAAAGUAAAACAACAAUACCAAUAAUCAACCAAGA
Molecule: long non-coding RNA, 203 nt
Filed under: Phaseolus vulgaris (common bean)
Lineage: Eukaryota; Viridiplantae; Streptophyta; Magnoliopsida; Fabales; Fabaceae
Description: long non-coding RNA (PVUL_LNC003878)
Source: RNAcentral